AGAGUUUGAUCAUGGCUCAGAACGAACGCUGGCGGCGUGGAUAAGACAUGCAAGUCGAACGCUAAUUUCAGGGUAGCAAUAUUCUGAGGUUGGAGUGGCGCAAGGGUGCGUAACACGUGGGUAAUUUGCCGUGAAGUUGGGGAUAACUCGCUGAAAGGCGAGCUAAUACCGAAUGUGAUAAUUGGAAGGCAUCUUUUGAUUAUCAAAGUUGGGGACCGUAAGGCCUGACGCUUCACGAUAAGCCCGCGGCCUAUCAGCUAGUUGGUGAGGUAAUGGCUCACCAAGGCUAAGACGGGUAGCUGGUCUGAGAGGACGACCAGUCACACUGGAACUGAGACACGGUCCAGACACCUACGGGUGGCAGCAGUCGAGAAUUUUUCUCAAUGGGCGAAAGCCUGAAGGAGCGACGCCGCGUGGGGGAUGAAGGGCUUCGGCUCGUAAACCCCUGUCAUUUGCGAACAAACCUUACGAUUUAAUAGAUCGUGAGCUGAUUGUAGCGAAAGAGGAAGGGACGGCUAACUCUGUGCCAGCAGCCGCGGUAAUACAGAGGUCCCAAGCGUUGUUCGGAUUCACUGGGCGUAAAGGGUGCGUAGGUGGCAGGGUAAGUUUGAUGUGAAAUCUCCGAGCUUAACUCGGAAACUGCAUUGAAUACUAUCCUGCUCGAGGUUUGGAGGGGGGACUGGAAUUCUCGGUGUAGCAGUGAAAUGCGUAGAUAUCGAGAGGAACACCAGUGGCGAAGGCGAGUCCCUGGACAACACCUGACACUGAGGCACGAAAGCUAGGGGAGCAAACAGGAUUAGAUACCCUAGUAGUCC
Molecule: ribosomal RNA, 815 nt
Filed under: uncultured bacterium
Lineage: Bacteria
Description: bacterial SSU rRNA
Rfam family: Bacterial small subunit ribosomal RNA
Source: RNAcentral